UACGAAGGGGGCUAGCGUUGCUCGGAAUCACUGGGCGUAAAGGGUGCUUAGGCGGGUCUUUAAGUCAGGGGUGAAAUCCUGGAGCUCAACUCCAGAACUGCCUUUGAUACUGAAGAUCUUGAGUUCGGGAGAGGUGAGUGGAACUGCGAGUGUAGAGGUGAAAUUCGUAGAUAUUCGCAAGAACACCAGUGGCGAAGGCGGCUCACUGGCCCGAUACUGACGCUGAGGCACGAAAGCGUGGGGAGCAAACAGG
Molecule: ribosomal RNA, 253 nt
Filed under: uncultured bacterium
Lineage: Bacteria
Description: partial 16S ribosomal RNA
Rfam family: Bacterial small subunit ribosomal RNA
Source: RNAcentral